UCCAAUUGUGGCGCAGUGGUUUGAGUGCUGGAGUAUAACUCUGGGAACCAGGGUUCGAUUCCCAGUUUGGCC
Molecule: non-coding RNA, 72 nt
Organism: Phrynosoma platyrhinos (Desert horned lizard)
Lineage: Eukaryota; Metazoa; Chordata; Lepidosauria; Squamata; Phrynosomatidae
Source: the annotation of a GenBank genome assembly